GGGCUUGUAGCUCAGUUGGUUAGAGCGCGUCCCUGAUAAGGACGAGGUCGGAGAUUCGAAUUCUCCCAGGCCCACCA
RNAcentral lists this transfer RNA (77 nucleotides) under Deltaproteobacteria bacterium. RNAcentral describes it as "tRNA-Ile". It matches the Rfam family "tRNA". Rfam says of the family: Transfer RNA (tRNA) molecules are approximately 80 nucleotides in length. Their secondary structure includes four short double-helical elements and three loops (D, anti-codon, and T loops). Further hydrogen bonds mediate the characteristic L-shaped molecular structure. tRNAs have two regions of fundamental functional importance: the anti-codon, which is responsible for specific mRNA codon recognition, and the 3' end, to which the tRNAs corresponding amino acid is attached (by aminoacyl-tRNA synthetases). tRNAs cope with the degeneracy of the genetic code in two manners: having more than one tRNA (with a specific anti-codon) for a particular amino acid; and 'wobble' base-pairing, i.e. permitting non-standard base-pairing at the 3rd anti-codon position. Lineage: Bacteria; Pseudomonadati; Myxococcota; Myxococcia. The record is from RNAcentral.